UACGUAGGAGGCAAGCGUUGUCCGGAGUUACUGGGCGUAAAGCGCACGCAGGCGGUCCCAUUAGUCUGUAGGGACAGGGCACAGCUCAACUGUGUCAGGCUUACGGAAACUGUGGGACUUGAGGGCUUCAGAGGGAUGGGGAAUUCCGGGUGGAGUGGUGAAAUGCGUAGAGAUCCGGAAGAACACCAAAGGCGAAGGCACCAUCCUGGGGAGUCACUGACGCUCGGGUGCGAAAGCUAGGGGAGCGAACGGG
This 253-nucleotide ribosomal RNA is filed under the name uncultured prokaryote. Its description in RNAcentral is "partial 16S ribosomal RNA". It matches the Rfam family "Bacterial small subunit ribosomal RNA", at positions 524 to 776 of the family's 1533-position model. RNAcentral also lists the same sequence under 1 other name. The record is from RNAcentral.